RNAcentral lists this ribosomal RNA (509 nucleotides) under uncultured bacterium. RNAcentral's name for it is "bacterial SSU rRNA". It matches the Rfam family "Bacterial small subunit ribosomal RNA", at positions 8 to 526 of the family's 1533-position model. The record is from RNAcentral.
AGAGUUUGAUCAUGGCUCAGGAUAAACGCUGGCGGCGUGCCUAAAACAUGCAAGUCGAACGCACCCUUCGGGGUGAGUGGCGGACGGCUGAGUAACACGUGGGUGACCUGCCCUCGAGCGGGGGAUAACUGCCCGAAAGGGUGGCUAAUACCGCAGAUGUCAUUCGUUCGGUCGGAUGACUGAACCUCCGGGGUUCGAGGAGGGGCCCGCGGCCCAUUAGCUUGUUGGUGAGGUAACGGCUCACCAAGGCUGCGAUGGGUAGCUGGUCUGAGAGGACGAUCAGCCACACUGGGACUGAGACACGGCCCAGACUCCUACGGGAGGCAGCAGUGGGGAAUCUUGCGCAAUGCGCGAAAGCGUGACGCAGCAACGCCGCGUGGGGGAAGAAGGCCUUCGGGUUGUAAACCCCUUUCAGGAGGGACGAAGGUUGGGCGGUUAAUAGCCGACCUGACUGACGGUACCUCCAGAAGAAGCCCCGGCUAACUACGUGCCAGCAGCGGCGGUAAUUC